GCGUAAUCGGGAGACAUCGGUGUCCGGGCGUAGACUUUCCGGAUGAAAAGGGAACCCGGUGAGAAUCCGGGGCUGCCUCCGCAACUGUAAGCGGCGAGCGCGCGAUCGACGAUGCCACUGGGAAACCGGGAAGGCCGAUCGCCCACGCAACGACCCGCGAGCCAGGAGACCUGCCGGUGAAACGUCGCUGAUC
Molecule: non-coding RNA, 193 nt
Filed under: uncultured Alphaproteobacteria bacterium
Lineage: Bacteria; Pseudomonadati; Pseudomonadota; Alphaproteobacteria
Source: RNAcentral